This 305-nucleotide ribosomal RNA is filed under the name uncultured bacterium. RNAcentral describes it as "bacterial SSU rRNA". It matches the Rfam family "Bacterial small subunit ribosomal RNA", at positions 337 to 634 of the family's 1533-position model. The record is from RNAcentral.
GCCUACGGGGCGCAGCAGUAGGGAAUCUUCCACAAUGGGCGAAAGCCUGAUGGAGCAACGCCGCGUGGGUGAAGAAGGUCUUCGGAUCGUAAAACCCUGUUGUUAGAGAAGAAAGUACGUGAGAGUAACUGUUCACGUUUCGACGGUAUCUAACCAGAAAGCCACGGCUAACUACGUGCCGGCAGCCGCGGUAAUACGUAGGUGGCAAGCGUUAUCCGGAUUUAUUGGGCGUAAAGGGAACGCAGGCGGUCUUUUAAGUCUGAUGUGAAAGCCUUCGGCUUAACCGGAGUAGUGCAUUGGAAACU